This 1105-nucleotide long non-coding RNA is filed under the name Cyanistes caeruleus (blue tit). RNAcentral describes it as "lncRNA (ENSCCEG00000000530.1)". The record is from RNAcentral. Lineage: Eukaryota; Metazoa; Chordata; Aves; Passeriformes; Paridae.
GUUUAACAUUUAAGCAAAUUGUCAGUGGACUGGAAAGAAAGAGGGAAGGCAACUUGACAACAUCCUGCUGACCCAAAACUGGAGAAGUCUGUUCUACCUUUCAAAGCUCUUGAGACACAUUUUGACUGCUGUUUCUGCUCAAAUAUAAAAUAAAUCCUAGGAGACUACCAAGAUUGGUUUCUGGCUGUGUGCAAAAGAAAAGUUAUUUCAAUGACAGAAUGCAGUGUCCACACAGGUCACUGCGAAAGGCUGGGGAAAGUGUGGUUUUGAGGGCUUUUGGGACCCAUCUGGGCAAACCUCCUACAACAUUGUCUGCUUUCAUAGUUUGCCAUUCUCUGUGAUGGAGGUCAGACCAGAGAACUCCUGGGAUCCCUCCCCACCUUUGUGACUGGGCUAAUUCUAUGGAUUCACCUUCCCUUGAGGUUACCAGCCUUGGAGGUGACUUCUAACUGGAAGAGAAGCCCAUUUGCAAGAGGAUGCUCGAUGGGUCAGUGGGUACCACGAGGGCCCUGUCUGAGGAUUGCUUCAUAUGUGGACUAUGCCAUACUCUUUUUCCUGUUACUUUAUUCCCUUUCCUGUGGGUUGAGUAAAAAAACCCUGAAGGAAAUUAUACCAUUCUAACCAAAAAGUAACAUAUUAAGACAAUUUGCAUUUUUAUUAAAAAAAGACAUAUUUUAUCUUUAAAAUAUAACCAGUGAUAGACACAAAAGGAUAAUCUCUAGGAUAAUGACACACUUCAGUACACUAGGCAAUUAGGUUUGCCUUUAAUUAUUUAUAGUUUGACAUGCUGCUCAUACAAAUACUCUGUGUAACAGGAGGAAGUCAGUUUGACCUUAAUUAUUGCCUGUAAAUAAUUCCUGAAUUGUAACUAAGUAGUGCCUUUUAAAAUGUAAUUAUUAUAAUACCAGAGUUACAGACCUCAUUGAUUUAUAAUUACUUAAUUGUUUAUACCCAUUAAACCACAGUUGUGAUAGGUUCAUCUUGCCUACAUGCCCUAGCCUGGAAACUGAGGAGUUAUGGCCAAGAACUCGGACUAAUGUUAUCUCCCACAGUUUAAUGGCUGAAGAAUCAUUCCAGUCUGGACAGGGUUAGUGGGGGACAAGAG